This 253-nucleotide ribosomal RNA is filed under the name uncultured bacterium. Its description in RNAcentral is "partial 16S ribosomal RNA". It matches the Rfam family "Bacterial small subunit ribosomal RNA", at positions 524 to 776 of the family's 1533-position model. The record is from RNAcentral.
UACGUAGGGGGCUAGCGUUGUCCGGAAUCAUUGGGCGUAAAGAGCGUGUAGGCGGCCCGGUAAGUCCGCUGUGAAAGUCGGGGGCUCAACCCUCGGAUGCCGGUGGAUACUGUCGGGCUCGAGUACGGAAGAGGCGAGUGGAAUUCCUGGUGUAGCGGUGAAAUGCGCAGAUAUCAGGAAGAACACCAAUGGCGAAAGCAGCUCUCUGGGACGGUACUGACGCUGAGACGCGAAAGCGUGGGGAGCGAUCAGG